GGUAUAUUGGUUAAGCGCUUGGCUGCUAACCAAAAGGUUGGUAGUUCAAAUCUACC
Molecule: transfer RNA, 56 nt
Filed under: Loxodonta africana (African savanna elephant)
Lineage: Eukaryota; Metazoa; Chordata; Mammalia; Proboscidea; Elephantidae
Source: Rfam by way of RNAcentral